GCAAAUUUGGAGACGCACCCUAAAAGGUGCCGGGGCUUCUCCCGUUUUAAGAGAGACGGGAGAAGG
This 66-nucleotide transfer RNA is filed under the name Cyrtodactylus intermedius. RNAcentral describes it as "tRNA-Cys". The record is from RNAcentral. Lineage: Eukaryota; Metazoa; Chordata; Lepidosauria; Squamata; Gekkonidae.